Molecule: ribosomal RNA, 521 nt
Filed under: uncultured bacterium
Lineage: Bacteria
Description: bacterial SSU rRNA
Rfam family: Bacterial small subunit ribosomal RNA
Source: RNAcentral
AGAGUUGAUCCUGGCUCAGGAUGAACGCUAGCUACAGGCUUAACACAUGCAAGUCGAGGGGCAUCAUGGUGUGUGCUUGCACGCACCGAUGGCGACCGGCGCACGGGUGCGUAACACGUAUCCAACCUACCCAUGGCUCAGGGAUAGCCUUCCGAAAGAAAGAUUAAUACCUGAUGGUCUCGUGUCGGGACAUCCCGUUGCGAGUAAAGAUUCAUCGGCGAUGGAUGGGGACGCGUCCGAUUAGCUUGUUGGCGGGGUGACGGCCCACCAAGGCGACGAUCGGUAGGGGCUCUGAGAGGAGGGUCCCCCACACUGGAACUGAGACACGGUCCAGACUCCUACGGGAGGCAGCAGUGAGGAAUAUUGGUCAAUGGGCGAGAGCCUGAACCAGCCAAAGUAGCGUGAGGGAUGACGGCCCUACGGGUUGUAAACCUCUUUUGUUUGGGAAUAAAGUGGGCCACGCGUGGCCUUUUGUAUGUACCUUUCGAAUAAGCAUCGGCUAAUUCCGUGCCAGCCGCCGC